Molecule: long non-coding RNA, 2183 nt
Organism: Gorilla gorilla gorilla (western lowland gorilla)
Lineage: Eukaryota; Metazoa; Chordata; Mammalia; Primates; Hominidae
Exons: 4
Source: RefSeq, a predicted model, not a curated record
UUAGGUGGCAUUUGACAAGUAUUUAGUCUUGGGUUAAUUCACCCCAUUAGUGAGGCAAGACUCUUGAAUACUCUAAUAGGUAGAUGCCUCAUGAGUUAUGAAAUGUCCCAUUCUGGCUAGUGGGAACAGACACUGAUUGUGGUCAUAUGUGAGUGCUGAGAAGUAUUCCCUCUAGUUCUUUUGGGACAUCCUUUCUCCAUCUUUAGGUAGUUUCUUCAAACCUGUAUACUGAUCAGCUGUCUCAUGAAUACGGGAGAAAACCUGCAGGUCUCCGGGAGUUCUCUCCCUGUGCAACUUAUCGCUUUUCAGUGCUGUGUACCGGCCAUUCCAGCUGCCUUUGUUUCGCUGGACUCUCAGCUGUGUCUUCUGAACUCACAUUUCAUAACUCUGAGUGCAAGCUGUAAUCACCUUUCAACAAGAAAAUAGUGCCUAAACUUUACCCCAAAAUCUCAGAGGAAGAGAGUGAUACCAGUAUUUUUUUUAAAGACUAAUAUUCUGUUAGGGCUGAGAACUCUAGUAUCAUACUAUUUUUAUUCCCAUGGUGCUUCCCCUUAAAUUCUCAGCAAUCACAAACUUGUCAUUUUCUAUCAAUGGACAGACUGAAACAGUUGUAUCAGUCAAGGUCAAAAUCAGAGAAGCAGAACAAAGAGUGAUCUAGAAUAAGAGUCUGAUUCUAGGGAUUCAAACAUUAUGCCACUGGGAUUGCUGGUGGAGUAAUCUGCUGGACUGUAUGUGGUGCUGGGCCUGAAGUCACCGUGGGUCAGCCAGACCAGGAGUUGGGAAGGAAAGGUGAACAAGAACAAAAGCAGGAACCAACCAAAAACUUCUAGAAAAAGAUGGAGCUUACAUCUGUCUUUCAUUACUCCACCUUAUGUGACUUGGAUGGCCUGAGGCCUGCAGGAGUAGCUGGCACCUCUAGCUAUAGGGCUGCACAUAUCUUUGGCCCAGAACACGGAGAAGUUUGAGGAGAUGUGUCAGCAGCUGGAGGAGCUGCGGGUUGGGUGCUGCCACAUGCCAACAAGAUUACUCUAGUUUGAUGUCAUAAUUUCUCAUGGAAUUAAAACUGGACUCUUCAAAAUGAUAGAGUUGUCUGAAUUUGGCUGCAAUGCGAACUACUAAUCGAUUCAAGCUUGUUAUCAAGACACCUAGAGAUCACCAGGGGAACAAGAGAAGCCAGGUGCAAGGGGCCAGGAAUGUUAUGCUAGAGGCACUUCCUCCACAUGGAAGGAAAUAUCAAAAGUGAAGAGGAAACAUUCCUCUCUGUUCCCCAGUCCUGCUACUGCCUUGCGUCAGUUUUAUCUGUUUUAAAAAUUGUGCUACCAGAGAACUCAGUGUUGUGUGAUACAUUAUUAUAUGUGCUUUUUAUUGAAAAAGCCCUUUUAGAAAACCUGCAGCUCUCUGUCUGCCAUUGGCCUUAGACAUGAGUCCAGUAAGGACUAGGCUAGGAGACAAAUCAACAUGACAGUUGCUGUGCUGUCAGAAUGAUUCUCUCCUUCCCUCCAACUUAGCUAUCAUGCUGUACAAUGCUCUUUGCUUCUGGCUGAUUUUUCCUUUAGCUGAGUUUUCUCCCAGGGCACUCCUUACUUUUGCAAGAAAUAGACUUUAGGCUGGCUUGCUUCACAAACAAUUUGUUCUAUAUGUGCCGAUAUGCACAAAUUAAAUUGAGGAUCUGCUUUAUGUGCUAAUUAGUUUGCAAGAAAUAAAAUUCUCAAGGUUAAGAUGGGUCUAUAGCUGCACUUUUUAGACAACUUGCAAUUGCUUUACCUCCCAUAGCUUCAGGUAUCUUCUCUAUGUAGUCGCCUUCUAAGCGCAAGUCUCUAUCCCUGCCCUCUUUCCAGCUGCCUGCUAGAUAUCCCCUUGCAGAUCUCCUCUGGAAACACAAUUUCAGUCUUUCCAAAACUGAACUCAUCAACUCUUACCUGUUCUUCCUGUUCUUCUCUUUCACUUAAAGGCACAAUCAUCCUAGUUGCUUAGGUCCAAGGUAUUCUAUCGGUCUGGGAUAUUGUUACCCACAGCAAUUGUUGUCAUAGUUCUCUUCUUUCAAGAGCUAACCCAGUUUCAUCCUCCUGUAUCUCUUCAGUCAAAAUGAAUCCCCUUUUCCUUUAUUCCUAUAGCACUCUAUAAUUAUUUAAAGCAUUGGCACCAUCUCCUUUAUAUUGUCUUGUAUCUCCUAUUUGCUUAAA